Long non-coding RNA from Coffea arabica (coffee), 773 nucleotides. RefSeq lists it as uncharacterized. The record is from RefSeq and is a predicted model, not a curated record. Lineage: Eukaryota; Viridiplantae; Streptophyta; Magnoliopsida; Gentianales; Rubiaceae.
UCAUCAGUCAUCAGUAAGUGUAAGCUACAUAAUUUUGAAGUAGCAGAUAAAACUUUUGUAGAAAUAAAUAAAUGCUUGGGAAAGCAGCCUUGGGUGUGGUGCUAACCCUGUUGUGGGUUAUCAUUGUCCUCGAUUCCUUUCAGACACCAUUCGCAAUUCCACAUGGGGAAAUUCGGUCUAAAGGUGGACGUGCGCUGCUUAUGCCGUUUCAUGGGGGAGGGCACGGAGGAGUACGAGUAAGCCCGUCACCUCGGGGUCAGAUUCCAUAGGGUUAUUUCUGCUUUGUGAUGCUCAGAAGACGAAUUUCAAUAAUAAAAAGUAGAACCUGGCGGUUCUCUCUCUCUCAGUGGCACUUCUUCCAAGUGGGGAGUUAUAAAAUAUUCUGGCUCUUGGUGGUUUGAAUAAUUUUGGGCCUUAAUUCGUGUUUUGUUGGAUUUCAAGAAGAAUUAUUGUUUUUGAAGCUUUUGUUAUGUAUAUUUCCUUGAGUUUGCUCCCCAAAAAAGAAAAAAAAAAUCCUUUGAGUUUGUUUGUUAUAUAUGGUUCUUGGAGAAAGACGGUGUGGCCGCGGGCAGCUGUGGAGGUGUAGUACUAGCGUGCAAUAGGAGCAGAGCUCAAUUCAAUAAGGGAGCCAGUUGCAAGGACCAAGAUGGAACGAUGAAAAGAAAAUAGAGAAAAAUGAAAAAAAAAAACAAAAGCACACAAUGGAUGUGUUUGAAUAAGACAUUAAUUAUUUAGAAUAAUACUAAUAUAUGUUUCAUCACACUUUUAAUUUA